RNAcentral lists this ribosomal RNA (497 nucleotides) under uncultured bacterium. Its description in RNAcentral is "partial 16S ribosomal RNA". It matches the Rfam family "Bacterial small subunit ribosomal RNA", at positions 28 to 523 of the family's 1533-position model. The record is from RNAcentral.
GAUGAACGCUAGCGGCAGGCCUAAUACAUGCAAGUCGCACGGGAUUGAGAGCUUGCUUCUCAUGAGAGUGGCGCACGGGUGCGUAACACGUAUGUAACCUACCUUAAUCAGGGGGAUAGCCUCUCGAAAGAGAGAUUAACACCGCAUAACAUUAUUGGAUAGCAUUAUUUAAUAAUCAAAUAUUUAUAGGAUUAAGAUGGGCAUGCGGAACAUUAGCUAGUUGGUAAGGUAACGGCUUACCAAGGCUACGAUGUUUAGGGGAUCUGAGAGGAUGACCCCCCACACUGGUACUGAGACACGGACCAGACGCCUACGGGAGGCAGCAGUAAGGAAUAUUGGUCAAUGGGCGCAAGCCUGAACCAGCCAUGCCGCGUGCAGGAAGACGGCCCUACGGGUUGUAAACUGCUUUUGUACCGGAAUAAACCCUUUUACGUGUAAGAGGCUGAAUGUACGGUAAGAAUAAGGAUCGGCUAACUCCGUGCCAGCAGCCGCAGUAA